RNAcentral lists this transfer RNA (76 nucleotides) under Verrucomicrobiota bacterium. Its description in RNAcentral is "Verrucomicrobia bacterium (activated sludge metagenome) tRNA-Val". It matches the Rfam family "tRNA". From Rfam's summary of the family: Transfer RNA (tRNA) molecules are approximately 80 nucleotides in length. Their secondary structure includes four short double-helical elements and three loops (D, anti-codon, and T loops). The record is from RNAcentral. Lineage: Bacteria; Pseudomonadati; Verrucomicrobiota.
GGGCGAGUGGCGCAGGGGUUAGCGCAGCAGUUUUACACACUGUUGGUCGGGGGUUCAAAUCCCUCCUCGCCCACCA